RNAcentral lists this ribosomal RNA (453 nucleotides) under Ctenophora environmental sample. Its description in RNAcentral is "partial Bacterial small subunit ribosomal RNA". It matches the Rfam family "Bacterial small subunit ribosomal RNA", at positions 90 to 532 of the family's 1533-position model. The record is from RNAcentral. Lineage: Eukaryota; Metazoa; Ctenophora.
UUUGAGUGGCGAACGGGUGAGUAAUGUGUAGGAAUCUGCCGAAUAGUGGGGGAUAACUUAAGGAAACUUAAGCUAAUACCGCGUAAUAAUCGAUUCGAUUUAUAGAUGGGGAUACUUUUUAGUACCUGUCGCUAUCCGAUGAGCCUACAUUAGAUUAGCUUGUUGGUGAGGUAAAGGCUCACCAAGGCAACGAUCUAUAGCUGGUUUGAGAGAAUGAUCAGCCACACUGGGACUGAGACACGGCCCAGACUCCUACGGGAGGCAGCAGUGGGGAAUAUUGCACAAUGGGCGCAAGCCUGAUGCAGCCAUGCCGCGUGUGUGAAGAAGGCCUUCGGGUUGUAAAGCACUUUCAGUAGAGAAGAAAUCCUUAAAGCCAAUACCUUUAAGUGUUGACGUUAUCUACAGAAGAAGCACUGGCUAACUCUGUGCCAGCAGCCGCGGUAAUACAGAGGG